Molecule: RNA transcript, 3043 nt
Organism: Sciurus carolinensis (gray squirrel)
Lineage: Eukaryota; Metazoa; Chordata; Mammalia; Rodentia; Sciuridae
Gene: Rpap2
Gene name: RNA polymerase II associated protein 2
Exons: 14
Source: RefSeq, a predicted model, not a curated record
CUGCAGUCCUCAGGAGAACAGCAUCCGGCUCCCGCGGGCCAUCGGUUUCUCCGGGCGAGAAGGCUCGGCCCCCGGUCCGGGGCGGCGGGGUGUCGCUCAGCGGGGUCUUCUAAAGAGGAUAACACCCUAGCGCGCUUGUGGGCGGCAUCCAGAGGAAGCCAUUUCCCCCGACUCCUGCUGUACUAGGCGUUCAGGUCCCACCACCUCGCGGGGCCUAGUCACUCGCAGCGCCGCUUCCCCACCGCCUGCCGCGCGCGCCUAGCCCAGCCCACCCCAGACCUCCCCGCGCGGCCACCUACCCGCCGGACCUUGCGGUGCGCUCAGCAGCCCGCACCACCUCGGGCCGCGUAGGCCGCGCUCCGGCCCCGCCCCGGCCCGUGCGACGCGUGUGGAGGCGGAGCUUCCAGGGGGACGCCGGAGCCGGUCCCUGAUCUUCUGACGAGGCUUCCCCAUGGCAGACUGGGCUCCGACGCGCUCUGCCGGCCAGAAGGCCCGGGUUCCCCCCGCCUCCCGAAAAGCUGCAGGUACUAAAGACACAAGUGCCUUGAAACAAGAAGAUGCUUUUAAAAGGAAAACAGAACUUGAAGCAGCUGUGAAAAAGAAGAUUGAGUUUGAGAGAAAAGCUCUACAUAUUGUUGAACAACUUUUAGAAGAGAAUAUUACAGAAGAAUUCCUAAUGGAAUGUGGGAAGUUCAUCACACCUGCUCACUAUAGUGAUGUCGUGGAUGAGCGUUCUAUUAUCAAACUCUGUGGUUAUCCUUUAUGUCAGAAGAAGUUGGGAAUUGUACCAAAACAGAAAUAUAAAAUUUCUACCAAAACCAAUAAAGUCUAUGAUAUUACUGAAAGAAAGUCUUUUUGCAGCAAUUUUUGUUAUAAAGCAUCUAAGUUUUUUGAAGCACAAAUUCCCAAAACUCCAAUAUGGGUUCGAGAAGAAGAGAGGCAUCCUGUUUUUCAGCUGCUGAAGGAAGGACAAAGUGGCCAUUCAGGAGAGGAAGUACAGUUAUGCAGUAAAGCCAUUAAAACAUCAGAUAUUGAUAAUCCUGGUCAUUUUGAAGAGCAAUAUGAAUGUAGUUCUUCUAGCACUUGUAGUGAUUGUACCAGUGAUAAUGAGCAAGACUUUAUUUCCUCCAUUCUACCAGGAAACAAACCAAAUGCAAUGGGUACAAGGCCACAGUUGAACCAAAAAAGCAUAAUGAAAAAGAAAGUUGGUCAAAAAGCUAACUCCAAACACAGAGACAAAGAACAGACAGUAGUAGAUGUCACUGAGCAGUUAGGCAAUUGUAGAUUAGAUUGUCAGGAGAAAGCUGUUGCUUGUGAACUUCCUUUACAGAAAGUAAAUACUCAGAUUUCUUCAUAUAGUCCUUUGCAUGAAAGAUUAAAAACUUCAGGAAAUUUUGAGAAUAAAUACAUGUCAGAAAUAACUUUUGUCGGCAUAAGUAAAAAAAGUGCUGAUCAUUUCAAGACCAAAUUUGCCAAAUCAAACCAAAUUUCUAAGCCAGCCUGUAAUUCCAUGCAGUUGUGUCCUGAAGUUGCAAAGAUGAACUUACUUAAAAUUCUAAGAGAGACUUUGAUUGAAUGGAAGACAGAAGAAACUUUGAAGUUUUUAUAUGGCCAGAACUAUGCUUCUGUGUGUCUGAAAUCCUGUCCAGCCUCUCUGGUUAAUGAAGAACUUGAUGAAGAUGACAUAAACUCUCCCCCAGAUAGUCAUUCCCCUGUCUUGGUGGAAUCUCAGAAUAGCCUGGAUGAAUCUUUACCUUUCAGAGGCUCAGAUGCAGCCAUUAAACCACUGCCAAGUUAUGAGAACUUGAAAAAAGAAACUGAAACAUUAAAUCUAAGGAUCAGGGAGUUUUAUAGAGGACGAUAUGUUUUGAAUGAAGAAACCACCAAAUCACAAGACUUGGAAGAGAUUCAGCAUGAAUCCACCUUUCCACUGAUAGAUUCAAGUUCCCAGAACCAGAUUAGAAAACGAAUCGUUCUUGAAAAAUUGAGCAAAGUAUUGCCUGGACUUUUGGGUCCCCUUCAGAUUACAUUAGGAGAUAUUUACACUCAACUUAAAAAUCUCAUCCGAACUUUCAGAUUAACAAAUAGAAAUAUAAUACACAAACCUGUGGAGUGGACUUUAAUUGCUGUGGUUUUGCUGUCAUUAUUGACCCCAAUUCUUGGCAUUCAGAAGCAUUCUCCAAAAAAUGUGGUGUUUACACAGUUCAUAGCCACCCUGCUUGAAGAAUUACAUUUAAAGAAUGAAGACCUUGAAAAUUUAACAGUCAUAUUUAGAACCAGCUGUUAAUCAGAGUGGCCUCACAUAUGGUAGGCAAGUGUUCUACCACUGAGCUACACCUCUAACCCCAUUUUGGAAAUUUUAAAAAUGAAGUGAAGACCUCAGGAUGCCCUCAACUUGCUAAAGGACAUGGAAACUCCAUUAUCAACUACUAGAGCCCAGGCCAUCCCACAUGUCCCAUCUGAUAAAUUCCUUCCCCGGAAAUAGCAAUUUACUCCAACCAGCUACUGCAGGGAUCGAUUGUGAACAUCCUCAUCCUGCUACCCUUUGAAUGAAAUCACCCCCUACCCAGCUAGUACUUUGGUCAUCUCAUGUGCAGAUAAGUAAUCAAAUUUACAUGUCUGGUUUUGCUGAAUCUUAAUCCUGCUCCCAAAUAGAUAGCUCUUUCCUUUCCUAAGUCCCCACCUCUUUCAGAAUUGCCCAUCAGAAUAUCCCCUAACUCCAUAUCUCUUCCUCCCUUCUUUCUUCUCAUGCUUCCAAGUGCUCAGAUAUAGAUUUAAUGUUACAGUUGAAAGAAUUCAUACUAAAUUAUAAUUUUUAUAAAAGCAAUAAAAAAUGCAUUAUGAAAUAAAAAUUAAGCAAUAUAGAGUUGCAUAAUAAUAAAAAAAAUUCCCCUCUCACCUCUGCAUCCAAUCCUGCCUCUUUCCCUGAAGCACACUUAAUAAUAUUUUUAUAUAUUUGGGGAGACGGGUAGUGAGGAUUGAACUCAGGGGCACUUGACCACUGAACCACAUCCCUGUUUUCUAUUUUAUUUAGAUACAGAGU